This 930-nucleotide ribosomal RNA is filed under the name Triticum aestivum (bread wheat). Its description in RNAcentral is "partial small subunit ribosomal RNA". Lineage: Eukaryota; Viridiplantae; Streptophyta; Magnoliopsida; Poales; Poaceae. The record is from RNAcentral.
AUGGUCAAUCAAAAGGUUGGAGUUUGUCAAGUCAGAAGGAAUCCACACUCCUCUGCAAAGUUUGUGGGGAGUGCUACUCAGGGUUUAGGGUUCUACCAUCUAGAUGUUCCAGAUGUGAAUGCCCAACACUUGGGAUGGUUGAAGAAUGUAGGGAUAGUGUUUGUUGAGUCAGGAGAGGUCUCAAAGGAGGAGUUGGCCAAAGAAUUUGCAAGUAUCUAUAAGACCAACUGGCCUUGGCCAAUUAACACUCUUGAUGAAUGGACUUUUCUAGUUAAGUUCCCACCAGAGAUUGAUGUCGACCAAGUAGUUGGCUACCCUUGUUUUGGGCUGUCCAAGGAAAACACCAUUAUCAAAGUGGAAACUUGGCUGGGGAAUGUGUCAGCUGAAGAUGAUCUACAAGAAGUCUGGCUAACAUUAAGGAAGAUCAAUCCAAAAUGGUGUGAGUGGACUCUGUUAGAUCAGAUUACCUCAACUUUUGGGGUGCUGCUAGAUGUAGACUGGCAGCACAACUUUCAGAGCGUUUAUGAGACUGUCAGGGUCAAGAUUUCCUACAAGGAUUACAACAGAAUUCCUCGGGAAAGAGUGUUUGGCAUUCAGGGGAAGCUUUAUAGGAUCCUGGUAGAAGUUGAACCACCACAGGUUGAUGAGGUGGUGGUGGUGCAAAACCCACAAUCCACCAAUACACAGGUCCCUAGAACCAUGGAAAAAGGAGACAAUGGGCCACCAAAAGAUGUUGGGUCACAGAAAGGCUCUAAAAAUGGCUUUGAUAAAGGAUAUAAUAUUGGCUCUGGCUCUGGUGGAGGAAACACAAAAAGUUCUGCCCAGGGUCUUAGCAAUGAAGCUAUGGAACCUCCCACCCCUACAUCUCUCCUGAAAAACCAAGCACGAGAGAAUUUGCAGCAGGUCGGAAAGAGUGUUCUAGACUCCUAG